This 732-nucleotide ribosomal RNA is filed under the name uncultured eukaryote. RNAcentral describes it as "SSU rRNA". It matches the Rfam family "Eukaryotic small subunit ribosomal RNA", at positions 726 to 1426 of the family's 1831-position model. The record is from RNAcentral.
GGUACGCACUACUGUCGGCCGGCUCGCGUGCCGGUUUUCCCGUCGUGGCCUUCGCCGGUCGCGGCGGGUGGCUGGCGAGUUUACUUUGAGAAAAUCAGAGUGCUCAACACAGGCGUCUAGCUUGAAUGAUUGUGCAUGGAAUAAUGGAAAAGGAUCACGGUCCUCUUUUAUUGGUUUUGUGGACUGAGAUAAUGGUUAACAGGGACAAACGGGGGCAUUCGUAUCGCUGCGUGAGAGGUGAAAUUCUUGGACCGUAGCGAGACGCCCGACUGCGAAAGCAUUUGCCAAGAAUGUCUUCAUUAAUCAAGAACGAAAGUCAGAGGUUCGAAGGCGAUCAGAUACCGCCCUAGUUCUGACCGUAAACGAUGCCAACUAGCGAUUCGCCGGUGGAUUCCACGCCCUGGUGAGUAGCUUCCCGGAAACGAAAGUCUUCCGGUUCCGGGGGAAGUAUGGUUGCAAAGCUGAAACUUAAAGGAAUUGACGGAAGGGCACCACCAGGAGUGGAGCCUGCGGCUUAAUUUGACUCAACACGGGGAAACUCACCCGGCCCGGACACCGUGAGGAUUGACAGAUUGAGAGCUCUUUCAUGAUUCGGUGGUUGGUGGUGCAUGGCCGUUCUUAGUUCGUGGAUCGAUUUGUCUGGUUUAUUCCGAUAACGAGCGAGACUCUAGCCUACUAAAUAGCCGCGAUAUUAUUUUCGUUGUGUCGCGCGCUUCUUAGAGGGAUUCGCGG